AUAUACCGUAUAAGAAAGAGGAGUAGCUGGUGGAAGCUUACAGAGAGUCAAUGCUUGCUGGAAAUUGACAGGGGAAGCCGGUGAAGGUUGCUUUUUGUUGGAAACCAAGGGUUUCGGGUGACUCCGUUAUGGGUUAAAAGUGUCGUAUAAUUACGAAAUUAAGGUGGUACCGCGUUCCUCGUCCUUUUG
Molecule: non-coding RNA, 189 nt
Organism: Peptoniphilus sp. oral taxon 375
Lineage: Bacteria; Bacillati; Bacillota; Tissierellia; Tissierellales; Peptoniphilaceae
Source: Rfam